AGCUCAGUGGUCGAGCGUUGGCUUUGGAAGCCACAGGUCGGUGGUUCAAACCCACC
RNAcentral lists this transfer RNA (56 nucleotides) under Phytophthora infestans T30-4. It matches the Rfam family "tRNA", at positions 9 to 63 of the family's 71-position model. From Rfam's summary of the family: Transfer RNA (tRNA) molecules are approximately 80 nucleotides in length. Their secondary structure includes four short double-helical elements and three loops (D, anti-codon, and T loops). Lineage: Eukaryota; Oomycota; Peronosporomycetes; Peronosporales; Peronosporaceae. The record is from Rfam by way of RNAcentral.